UACAGAGGUGGCAAGCAUUGUUCGGAAUUACUGGGCGUAAAGGGCGCGUAGGCGGUUCGAUAAGUCCCGUGUGAAAUCCCUCGGCUCAACUGAGGAACUGCACGGGAAACUGACGGGCUUGAGUUCGGGAGAGGGAAGCGGAAUUCCGGGUGUAGCGGUGAAAUGCGUAGAUAUCCGGAGGAACACCGAUGGCGAAGGCAGCCCCGUGGACCUGUACUGACGCUCAUGCACGAAAGCGUGGGGAGCAAACAGG
RNAcentral lists this ribosomal RNA (253 nucleotides) under uncultured bacterium. RNAcentral's name for it is "partial 16S ribosomal RNA". It matches the Rfam family "Bacterial small subunit ribosomal RNA", at positions 524 to 776 of the family's 1533-position model. The record is from RNAcentral.